Non-coding RNA from Paramuricea clavata, 74 nucleotides. Lineage: Eukaryota; Metazoa; Cnidaria; Anthozoa; Malacalcyonacea; Plexauridae. The record is from the annotation of a GenBank genome assembly.
GCCACACUCAUCAGGUGAAUGAUGAUAUUGAUAUGAUGAUAACGUGAUAUCAUCAUUCACCUGAUGAGUGUGGC